RNAcentral lists this ribosomal RNA (406 nucleotides) under uncultured bacterium. RNAcentral's name for it is "partial 16S ribosomal RNA". It matches the Rfam family "Bacterial small subunit ribosomal RNA", at positions 30 to 526 of the family's 1533-position model. The record is from RNAcentral.
AUUGAACGCUGGCGGCAGGCCUAACACAUGCAAGUCGAGCGAGCGGCGGACGGGUGAGUAAUGUCUGGGAAACUGCCUGAUGGAGGGGGAUAACUACUGGAAACGGUAGCUAAUACCGCAUACCAUCAGAUGGUCCCAGAUGGGAUUAGCUAGUCGGUGGGGUAACGGCUAACCUAGGCGACGAUCCCUUGCUGGUCUGAGAGGCUGACCGGCAACACUGGAACUGAGAAACGGUCCAGACUCUAACGGGAGGCAGCAGUGGGGAAUAUUGCAAAAUGGGCGCAAGCCUGAUGCAGCCAUGCCGCGUGUGUGAAGAAGUCCUUCGGGUUGUAAAGCACUUUCAGCGGGGAGGCGUUACCCGCAGAAGAAGCACCGGCUAACUCCGUGCCAGCAGCCGCGGUAAUAC